AAUGAUCUUCCUGUAUCCAUGUUGCAUUCACCUGUUAACUCUAUGUAUGGCUGCUUGUAUCUAAGCCUGGUAGUUGGUACCAAUGCCAAGGGGAACAACAAAUACAUACACCAACUUUCCUUGGUGAUCUCUUAAAAUUCCUCCUCCACCUAUCUUGUCUGGAUUAUUGAGAGCACUCCUAUCUGUAUUUAGCUUGUACACACCAUUGCAAGGUCUUUCCCAAAGAACUGGUAUAACCUUAAUUUCAUGACUACAAUUUUCCACCAUAAAGAUAAGAUCAUUCUAGUUGUGUGACCACUGGAUAUAGGGGAAAACAGUGUUGAAAAUUUGAAGGAUAUUUUUU
Molecule: long non-coding RNA, 343 nt
Filed under: Solanum tuberosum (potato)
Lineage: Eukaryota; Viridiplantae; Streptophyta; Magnoliopsida; Solanales; Solanaceae
Description: long non-coding RNA (STUB_LNC011664)
Source: RNAcentral